This 407-nucleotide ribosomal RNA is filed under the name uncultured bacterium. Its description in RNAcentral is "partial 16S ribosomal RNA". It matches the Rfam family "Bacterial small subunit ribosomal RNA", at positions 360 to 774 of the family's 1533-position model. The record is from RNAcentral.
AAUAUUGCGCAAUGGAGGGAACUCUGACGCAGCGACGCCGCGUGAGCGAUGAAGGUCUUCGUAUCGUAAAGCUCUGUCCUUGGGGAAGAAGGUCUUCGGACUUGACGGUACCUAAGGAGGAAGCCCCGGCUAACUACGUGCCAGCAGCCGCGGUAAUACGUAGGGGGCAAGCGUUGUCCGGAAUUACUGGGCGUAAAGGGUGCGUAGGCGGCCUGAUAAGUCAGGUGUGAAAUACCAGGGCUCAACUCUGGGGGUGCACUUGAAACUGUCGGGCUUGAGUGCAGGAGAGGAAAGCGGAAUUCCUAGUGUAGCGGUGAAAUGCGUAGAUAUUAGGAGGAACACCAGUGGCGAAGGCGGCUUUCUGGACUGUAACUGACGCUGAGGCACGAAAGCGUGGGUAGCGAACA